AGUGGUGGACCUUUUUACCAAGUUGGCCCAUUUCAUCCCAUGUGAUGGUCUCCCCACGGCCAAAGAGACUGCAGAUUUAUUCCUUCAACAUGUUUUCCGACUACAUGGAUUGCCCAAGAGUUUAGUCACUGACCGUGGAUCUCAAUUCACCUCUCGUUUCUGGAAAGCACUACAAAAACUAUUGGGCAUAGACUCUCGUUUAUCUUCAGCUCAUCAUCCCCAAACGGAUGGGCAAACGGAGCGCACCAAUGCCACUUUGGAACAAUACCUUCGUUGUUACGUAAAUUACCAACAGGACAAUUGGGCUUCCCUAUUACCUCUGUCAGAAUUUGCUUACAACAAUGGGGUCCAGGCUUCAUGUUAUGGUUGAGCCUUAUGGCUCCAAUACUGGGAGACGUGGUCGUAAGACUCCUCGUGAGUCAGAUUCUCUCGAGGAGCGAGAGAGGAAACGGCUGCGGGAUAUCUUUGCAGAACCAUCUGACGAAGACUCCUUUGAGGGUUUUACCGAGAGAAUGGAGGAAGAGGUGGUUAGCUCAGAGGAGGAUGACAUGGAAUGGACUCGUGUGAGGGAGGAUUUGGGUGUUCCUGGUAAUGAUAGCAUGGGAAGCGACUGGCAGGUUGCAGGAUCGGACCCGUGGACGAGCUGGAGGGAUGGAACGGGAUCCACAGCUGGGGAUGCUGUGGGGCGUAGUCAAAGAUGUUUUAGCUCUGAUGAGGAUGACAUGGAAUGGACUCGUGUCGAUGGAGAGAUUUGGGUGUUCCUGGUAAUGAUAGCAUGGGAAGCGACUGGCAGGUUGCAGGAUCGGACCCGUGGACGAGCUGGAGGGAUGGAACGGGAUCCACAGCUGGGGAUGCUGUGGGGCGUAGUCAAAGAUGUUUUAGCUCUGAUGAGGAUGAUGAUGAUGAGGCACCUGGAAUUAGGGUAACACCUGAUAGCGAUGAGGAGUUGUAACUGGCAUAUAAUGGGGUCUUGAAUCCGGGGCUAAUUGCGUUGGGCAAGGUAAUCUGGACGAACGCUUGGGCUCUUGUUGGGAAUUUCCUGAAGACGGGUGUGUUUCGUUUGCUGAAUACCUUGGACCCUCCGUCGUCUUCUUGACGGACAUUAUUUACCUACUCGGAAUUGACGCUGGACUGGCUGACUGACUGAUUGACUGACUGACUGACUGACUGGCUGACUACGAUCUUGGACGACCCUUUCUUUGGCUAUCGGAGGUUUUCGUGGAACCUAAGACGCCUGCACCUGGCUAUCGACCUCGGACCGGAUUGAGACCCCGCUGACCGCUGCAACCCUGAUUGAUGUGUUUGGACCCGGAGUUCGCCCGCUGCACGGAGGAGUAACAACUUAGUUGCUCAACCACAGCUGUUGAGUAGCAGAGAGGAAUCUGCUGCCAGUAUUUAUGUUCUAUUGAAUGUUUGUUUACCAGCUUUUGUUUGUUUAAAGUCCCAGGCUGAAGUAAGCAUUUUUGGUUUAACCCGGAUUAAACUCUUGUUUAAUCCGGUUUAUCUUUUGAACCGUUUUUGAGUGACUUUUCAUAUUGAAUGCGAGUGUUUGCCUAGCUCUUUGUUUUUUUACGAGCAUUUUUGGUUCUGUAUCUUUAAUAAACUGUGUUGAAUCUUAUCUAGUGGCGUUCUGUCCUUGACACUUCAACUAAAGAAACCCCGUUCUUUGCAAACUACGGUUUCCAUCCAUGCUUCUUUCCUUCCGUCAUUGAAACCUCAGAAGUCC
RNAcentral lists this long non-coding RNA (1726 nucleotides) under Anolis carolinensis (green anole). RNAcentral describes it as "lncRNA (ENSACAG00000035501.1)". The record is from RNAcentral. Lineage: Eukaryota; Metazoa; Chordata; Lepidosauria; Squamata; Anolidae.